This 468-nucleotide ribosomal RNA is filed under the name uncultured bacterium. RNAcentral's name for it is "partial 16S ribosomal RNA". It matches the Rfam family "Bacterial small subunit ribosomal RNA", at positions 28 to 507 of the family's 1533-position model. The record is from RNAcentral.
GACGAACGCUGGCGGCGUGCUUAACACAUGCCAGUCGAACGGAAAGGCCCUGCUUUUGUGGGGUGCUCGAGUGGCGAACGGGUGAGUAACACGUGAGUAACCUGCCCUUGACUUUGGGAUAACUUCAGGAAACUGGGGCUAAUACCGGAUAUGAGCUCCUGCUGCAUGGUGGGGGUUGGAAAGUUUCGGCGUUUGGGGAUGGAGGCGCGGGUUAUCAGCUUGUUGGUGGGGUAGUGGAUUACCAAGGCUUUGACGGGUAGCCGGACUGGGAGGGUGACCGGCCCCAUUGGGACUGGGAUGGCGCCCAGAGGGAUACGGGAGGCAGCAGUGGGGGACAUUGCAAAAUGGGCGGAAGGCGGAUGCAGGAUCGUCGGGUGCGGGAUGACGGCUUGCGGGGUGGAAACCUGGUUCGCGUGGGACGCAGAGUGAGUGACGGUAAUGGGUAAAGAAGCACCGGCUAACUACGUG